GGCCGACUAGCUCAGUUGGUUAGAGCGUCGUGCUAAUAUGACGUAGUACGACCGUUAUUAUGCGAAGGUCUUGGGUUCGAUCCCCACGUUGGCCA
This is a transfer RNA of Moniliophthora roreri MCA 2997, 95 nucleotides long. It matches the Rfam family "tRNA". From Rfam's summary of the family: Transfer RNA (tRNA) molecules are approximately 80 nucleotides in length. The record is from Rfam. Lineage: Eukaryota; Fungi; Basidiomycota; Agaricomycetes; Agaricales; Marasmiaceae.